This 39-nucleotide ribosomal RNA is filed under the name Craterellus strigosus. RNAcentral describes it as "partial 25S ribosomal RNA". The record is from RNAcentral. Lineage: Eukaryota; Fungi; Basidiomycota; Agaricomycetes; Cantharellales; Hydnaceae.
UGACCUCGAAUCAGAUGAGAAUACCCGCUGAACUUAAGC